Molecule: ribosomal RNA, 517 nt
Filed under: uncultured bacterium
Lineage: Bacteria
Description: bacterial SSU rRNA
Rfam family: Bacterial small subunit ribosomal RNA
Source: RNAcentral
UAGUCCACGCCGUAAACGAUGUUUGCUAGUUGUCAGGCCCUCAGGGUUUGGUGACGGAGAGAAAUCAUUAAGCAAACCGCCUGGGGAGUACGGCCGCAAGGUUAAAACUCAAAGGAAUUGACGGGGACCCGCACAAGCGGUGGAGCAUGUUGUUUAAUUCGAAGCAACGCGAAGAACCUUACCCACUCUUGACAUACCUCUUGGGACUUUCAGAGAUGAUUUGUCUUCGGUUCGGCCGGGGAGAUACAGGUGCUGCAUGGCUGUCGUCAGCUCGUGUCGUGAGAUGUUCGGUUAAGUCCGGUAACGAGCGCAACCCUUAUCUUGUGUUGCCAUCAUUUAGUUGGGAACUCACAAGAGACUGCCGGUGACAAGCCGGAGGAAGGCGGGGGACGAGUCAAGUCAUCAUGGCCCUUACGAGUGGGGGGCUACAAACGUGCUACAAUGGGUAGUGACAGUGGGCAGCUAGGCCGCGAGGCCGUGCUAAUCUCCAAAAACUAUCUCAGUUCGGAUUGUCUCU